RNAcentral lists this transfer RNA (75 nucleotides) under Candidatus Peregrinibacteria bacterium. Its description in RNAcentral is "tRNA-Arg". It matches the Rfam family "tRNA". From Rfam's summary of the family: Transfer RNA (tRNA) molecules are approximately 80 nucleotides in length. Their secondary structure includes four short double-helical elements and three loops (D, anti-codon, and T loops). Further hydrogen bonds mediate the characteristic L-shaped molecular structure. tRNAs have two regions of fundamental functional importance: the anti-codon, which is responsible for specific mRNA codon recognition, and the 3' end, to which the tRNAs corresponding amino acid is attached (by aminoacyl-tRNA synthetases). tRNAs cope with the degeneracy of the genetic code in two manners: having more than one tRNA (with a specific anti-codon) for a particular amino acid; and 'wobble' base-pairing, i.e. permitting non-standard base-pairing at the 3rd anti-codon position. Lineage: Bacteria; Candidatus Peregrinibacteriota. The record is from RNAcentral. RNAcentral also lists the same sequence under 1 other name.
GCCCUCGUAGGUUAACGGAUAGACCACUGGCCUCCGAAGCCGGGAAUACAGGUUCAAUUCCUGUCGAGGGCACCA